RNAcentral lists this unclassified non-coding RNA (289 nucleotides) under Hevea brasiliensis (rubber tree). The record is from RNAcentral. Lineage: Eukaryota; Viridiplantae; Streptophyta; Magnoliopsida; Malpighiales; Euphorbiaceae.
GUUGCUAGUAUCAUAUACUCAAAGGAGAAGAAGAGAGAAACAGAAGCCUGACGUGUUUCUAUCAAAUACUUAAUAGAACUGUACAAAAACAGACUGUCUAGAAGAAGAAGGAACCCGAGAAAUGAAACUCAGAAAUGAAACUAUCCGGAUGUGAGACAUCAAUGGCACCGAUGGGGUUGUCUCAAUGUACUCAACCCUCUUUUGAGCUAACCAAUGCAAUGCCUUGAUUAACAAUAAAGCCGUGACCAUAGCAAGGAAUGUCACUGAGAAGUCCUGCCUGAAAAUAGUG